Molecule: ribosomal RNA, 440 nt
Filed under: uncultured bacterium
Lineage: Bacteria
Description: partial 16S ribosomal RNA
Rfam family: Bacterial small subunit ribosomal RNA
Source: RNAcentral
CCUACGGGAGGCAGCAGUGGGGAAUAUUGGACAAUGGGGGAAACCCUGACCCAGCGACGCCGCGUGAGUGAAGAAGUAUUUCGGUACGUAAAGCUCUAUCAGCAGGAAAGAAAAUGACGGUACCUGACUAAGAAGCCCUGGCCAACUACGUGCCAGCAGCCGCGGUCAUACGUAGGGGGCAAGCGUUAUCCGGUUUUACUGGGUGUAAAGGGAGAGGAGACGGUAGCGUAAGUCUGGAGUGAAAUGCCGGGGGCCAACCCCGGAACUGCUCGGGAAAAUGUAAAGCUGGAGUGCAGGAGAGGUAAGCGGAAUUCCUGGUGUAGCGGUGAAAUGCGUAGAUAUCAGGAGGAACACCAGCGGCGAAGGCGGCUUACUGGACUGUAACUGACGUUGAGGCUCGAAGGCGUGGGGAGCAAACAGGAUUAGAUACCCUUGUAGUC